RNAcentral lists this ribosomal RNA (502 nucleotides) under uncultured bacterium. Its description in RNAcentral is "bacterial SSU rRNA". It matches the Rfam family "Bacterial small subunit ribosomal RNA", at positions 29 to 517 of the family's 1533-position model. The record is from RNAcentral.
AGCGAACGUUUGCGGCGGGCCUAACACAUGCAAGUCGAACGGGCUGUCCUUCGGGGCGAGUCAGUGGCGCACGGGUGCGUAACACGUAGGUAAUCAACCCUUGGGUUCGGGGAUAACACUGCGAAAGAGGUGCUAAUACCGGAUGCGACGGUCGGGACUUCGGUACCGAUCGGGAAAGAUCCGCAAGGAUUGCCCGAGGACGAGCCUGCGGCCCAUUCAGCUUGUUGGUGAGGUAAAAAGCCUCACCAAGGCUAAGACGGGUAGCUGGUCUGAGAGGAUGAUCAGCCACACUGGAACUGAGACACGGUCCAGACUCCUACGGGAGGCAGCAGUGGGGAAUAUUGCGCAAAUGGGACAAAGUCUGACGCAGCCACGCCGCGUGAAGCGAUGAAGGCCCUCGGGUCGUAAAGCUCUGUGGGGAGACGAAGAAUAAAGCCGGUGAAGAGCCGGCCCUGACGGUAUCUCCUUAGCAAGCACCGGCUUAACUCCGUGCCAGCAGCCG